GUGAGUAGUUCAGAGUUUGAUCCUGGCUCAGGACGAACGCUGGCGGCGUGCCUAACACAUGCAAGUCGAACGGAACUGUUAUGAUUGAUUCUUCGGAUGAUUGAAUUUCAGUUUAGUGGCGGACGGGUGAGUAACGCGUGAGUAACCUGCCUUCGAGAGGGGAAUAACGUUCUGAAAAGAUCGCUAAUACCGCAUAACAUAGUGAUGUCGCAUGGCAACGCUAUCAAAGAUUUUAUCGCUCGAAGAUGGACUCGCGUCCGAUUAGUUAGUUGGUGAGGUAACGGCUCACCAAGACCGCGAUCGGUAGCCGGACUGAGAGGUUGAUCGGCCACAUUGGGACUGAGACACGGCCCAG
RNAcentral lists this ribosomal RNA (355 nucleotides) under uncultured bacterium. RNAcentral describes it as "bacterial SSU rRNA". It matches the Rfam family "Bacterial small subunit ribosomal RNA", at positions 1 to 334 of the family's 1533-position model. The record is from RNAcentral.